RNAcentral lists this ribosomal RNA (480 nucleotides) under uncultured bacterium. RNAcentral's name for it is "bacterial SSU rRNA". It matches the Rfam family "Bacterial small subunit ribosomal RNA", at positions 1 to 521 of the family's 1533-position model. The record is from RNAcentral.
GGCGAUUGGGCCGAGUUUGAUCAUGGCUCAGAGCGAACGCUGGCGGCAGGCCUAACACAUGCAAGUCGAGCGGCCGUAGCAAUACGGCAGCGGCAGACGGGAGAGUAACACGUGGGAACGCGCCCUUCGGUUCGGAAUAACGCAGGGAAACUUGCGCUAAUACCGGAUACGCCCUUACGGGGAAAGAUUUAUCGCCGAAGGAACGGCCCGCGUCCGAUUAGCUAGUUGGUGAGGUAAUGGCUCACCAAGGCGACGAUCGGUAGCUGGUCUGAGAGGAUGACCAGCCUCACUGGGACUGAGACACGGCCCAGACUCCUACGGGAGGCAGCAGUGGGGAAUAUUGGACAAUGGGCGCAAGCCUGAUCCAGCCAUGCCGCGUGGAUGAUGAAGGCCCUAGGGUUGUAAAGUCCUUUUAACGGGGAAGAUAAUGACGGUACCCGUAGAAUAAGCCCCGGCUAACUUCGUGCCAGCAGCCGCGGU